UUACGGGAGGCAGCAGUGAGAAAUAUUGGACAAUGGGCGCAAGCCUGAUCCAGCCAUGCCGCGUGCAGGAAGACGGUCCUAUGGAUUGUAAACUGCUUUUGUACGGGAAGAAACAGCAGUUCGUGAACUGCCUUGAGGGUACCGUAAGAAUAAGGAUCGGCUAACUCCGUGCCAGCAGCCGCGGUAAUACGGAGGAUCCAAGCGUUAUCCGGAAUCAUUGGGUUUAAAGGGUCCGUAGGCGGUUUGGUAAGUCAGUGGUGAAAGCCCAUCGCUCAACGGUGGAACGGCCAUUGAUGCUGCCAGACUUGAAUUAUUAGGAAGUAACUAGAAUAUGUAGUGUAGCGGUGAAAUGCUUAGAGAUUACAUGGAAUACCAAUUGCGAAGGCAGGUUACUACUAAUGGAUUGACGCUGAUGGACGAAAGCGUGGGUAGCGAACAGGAUUAGAAACCCGAGUAGUCC
RNAcentral lists this ribosomal RNA (460 nucleotides) under uncultured bacterium. RNAcentral's name for it is "bacterial SSU rRNA". It matches the Rfam family "Bacterial small subunit ribosomal RNA", at positions 339 to 796 of the family's 1533-position model. The record is from RNAcentral.